RNAcentral lists this unclassified non-coding RNA (329 nucleotides) under soil metagenome. Its description in RNAcentral is "partial contains 5.8S ribosomal RNA, internal transcribed spacer 2, and large subunit ribosomal RNA". The stretch from base 1 to 120 matches the Rfam family "5.8S ribosomal RNA", at positions 35 to 154 of the family's 154-position model. The record is from RNAcentral.
GAUGAAGAACGUAGCGAAAUGCGAUAAGUAAUGUGAAUUGCAGAAUUCAGUGAAUCAUCGAAUCUUUGAACGCACCUUGCGCCCCUUGGUAUCCCGAGGGGCAUGCCUGUUCGAGCGUCAUUUCACCACUCAAGCCUGGCUUGGUGUUGGGCGACGUCCCCUUUGGGGACGCGCCUCGAAACGCUCGGCGGCGUGGCACCGGCUUUAAGCGUAGCAGAAUCUUUCGCUUUGGAAGUCGGGGCCCCGUCUGCCGGAAGACCUACUCGCAAGGUUGACCUCGGAUCAGGCAGGGAUACCCGCUGAACUUAAGCAUAUCAAUAAGCGGAGGA